UUUUUUUUUUUUUUUCUUGUCUUUUUGCCUUUUCUAGGGCCGCUCCUGUGGCACAUGGAGGUUCCCAGGCUAGGGGUCGAAUCAGAGCUGUAGCCGCUGGCCUACGCCAGAGCCACAGCAAUGUGGGAUCCGAGCUGCGUCUGCAAUCCACACCGUAGCUCACAGCAACGCUGGACCCUUAACCCACUGAGCAAGGCCAAGGAUUGAACCCUCAACCCCAUGGUUUCUUGUCGGAUUCGUUAACCACAGCACCACAACGGGAACUCCCAAGCUAGGUUAUUUCUAUGAAGCAUCUCCAUUCAUAAAGAAUCGAUGCUACCAAGUGAAACAUUUUAUGAAAUAAAAGGUGGGACACUGGACGGCUAGCUGGCUAGAAGCAAAGCUAAGGAGGAACAGACUCACCAAUUUUGGGUCUCAUUACCAAUUUAAAUGAAUAAAUACAUGAGCAUACCAUCUGAAAAAUGACAAAUCCAAGUCAUCAUCAAAAUACAUUUUACUUCAAAAUCAAUCUGAAGGCUUGGUUAUUUCUAUAGUCUUAGUCUAUACUCGCUGGUAUUAAACGGCACAGUUAAUUUUUAGAGCUUUAGCCCGGAUCCAUCUAAAUGCAUUAUUUUGAGAUCAAUUUUGUUUCUUCCCUAAGGUAAGGAUUGUGUAAACCAUGGGUAAAUACAUCAUACAUACAUCAAAGUGGGAUUAUGACAGUUAAGUCUGAAGCAGAAAGUAGCUUAAAAAGAAUACAUUAAAUGGCUUAAAGGCUUAAAUAUAAGACAUGACACCAUAAAACUCCUAGAAGAGAAUAUAGGCAAAAUGCUCUCUGAUGUAAAUCAUACCAAUGUUUUCUUAGGUCAGUCUCCCAAGGCAAUACAAAAAAAGCAAAAAUAAACAAAUUAGACCUAUCAAACUUAGAAGCUUUUGCAAUAAAAUAAAAUAAAUAAAUAAAAUAAAAGACAACCUAUGGAUUCGGAGAAAAUAUCUGCAAAGGAUGCGACCAACAAGGGCUUAUACAAACAGCUCAUACAACUCAAUAAUGAAACAAGCAAACAAACAAUCCAAUGAAAAAAAUGGGCAGUAAACCCAAAUGGACAUUUCUCCAAAGAAGACAUACACAGAUGGCCAACAGGCACAGGAGAAGAUGUUCAUCAUCAUCAGAGGAGUGCAAGUCAAAACGAUCACCUCACGGGAGUUCCCAUGGCGGCUCAGUGGUAACAAACCCGACUAGUAACCAUGAGGAUGCAGGAGUCUUUACAGAGCUGUAUUUUGAAGUGGCUCACGCAUUUGAGUACCUAUUUUUCGUCUUUUUCAUUC
RNAcentral lists this long non-coding RNA (1305 nucleotides) under Sus scrofa (pig). RNAcentral's name for it is "lncRNA (ENSSSCG00005003105.1)". The record is from RNAcentral. Lineage: Eukaryota; Metazoa; Chordata; Mammalia; Artiodactyla; Suidae.